UAGUUGCGUAUCGACUGCAGUAGUGUG
RNAcentral lists this small RNA (27 nucleotides) under Bombyx mori (domestic silkworm). Its description in RNAcentral is "ovarian small RNA-23169". The record is from RNAcentral. Lineage: Eukaryota; Metazoa; Arthropoda; Insecta; Lepidoptera; Bombycidae.